Long non-coding RNA from Lutra lutra (Eurasian river otter), 834 nucleotides. RefSeq lists it as uncharacterized. NCBI's taxonomy places the organism in Eukaryota, Metazoa, Chordata, Mammalia, Carnivora, Mustelidae. The record is from RefSeq and is a predicted model, not a curated record. The transcript has 3 exons.
AGACGAUCCUAGCUCCCAGCCAUUGAGUCUUCCCAGCCGGGGCCCCAGACAUCGUGGAGCAACACAAGUCAUCCCUCCGCACUCUGUCUGAAUUCCUGAACCCACAGAUUCCAUGCUCAGAGGACAGCUGGAAGGCAGUUCUGAGUCGAAGAAGCCGAUGUGGCCUGGUCUGGAAGAUGGGAGAUGAGGAUUUUAGUCUCAGCUCUGCCUUGAACUUCAUUUGGCCUGAGAAUCUCAGAGAAAACCAUGAUUGGUGCCUCUGUUGAGUGUGGGACAGGAAGAGUUAACAUGCUGACAGAUGGCAUUUUUUACCUUCAGUCAAUAUGAACAAGGCCCCAAGACUAUGAUUCCAAACAUCUGGAUUUCAUCAAUAUGUGAUCUGUCAUCGUAUAUUGGCAUUCCCCAGUCCCCGCGCCAGAGCAAUGCGGCUGGUUUUAUUAAUACGUCAAAUACAUUAUCCGUGUAAUACACUUGUCUGGCUGGGGCCUCCCGCUGGGGCGGGGCGGCGGAUUUGAAUGUAUGAUGAAUCAGUUUGCAUUACAUGUUCGUAAGUCAUCAUUUGUCAGGAUUAAUAGGCAUCCCUGGUCGAGGAGGUGGGGGUAGGGCCGCCGGAGGAGAGCCGUGCAUUUAGCGAUGGCCCAUAUUUAUCUGCCAGUACCCAGGGGUGCCCUGAAAACAACCAUGUACCCUCCUGCCCAGACCCUGGGGCCGCGGCUGGUGCUCUGGGGGAGGCUACAUUUUUAGCAGUUCCUGAGUCCCUCGGAACCACAUAGGCCUAUCUGUCUCUGCUUUGGGCUGGGCAAACAUCUGAAGGGUAUGGCCGGGGCCAUUGGC